AAAUUGAAGAGUUUGAUCAUGGCUCAGAUUGAACGCUGGCGGCAGGCCUAACACAUGCAAGUCGAACGGUAGCACAGGAAGCAGCUUGCUGCUUUGCUGACGAGUGGCGGAC
Molecule: ribosomal RNA, 112 nt
Filed under: Salmonella enterica subsp. enterica serovar Infantis
Lineage: Bacteria; Pseudomonadati; Pseudomonadota; Gammaproteobacteria; Enterobacterales; Enterobacteriaceae
Description: partial 16S ribosomal RNA
Rfam family: Bacterial small subunit ribosomal RNA
Source: RNAcentral